Molecule: long non-coding RNA, 13530 nt
Filed under: Cucumis sativus (cucumber)
Lineage: Eukaryota; Viridiplantae; Streptophyta; Magnoliopsida; Cucurbitales; Cucurbitaceae
Description: long non-coding RNA (CSAT_LNC001418)
Source: RNAcentral
UUCAGGUCGAUUCUGAUUUUCUCCACUAAGGCAUGAACCAGAUCCAUCCUCUCUAGUGCGUGUUCUACGGAGAGAAUAUUUGGCGCCACUAUAACCACAGCAUCAUCUUCAUCCCAAGCGUUAAUGGCGUGAAUUAAGUUCAAUCCAGGUACAUCGAACCACUUCAUCUUUGAUUCAUCGUUAGCGUAUCGAGGAAUUAGUCCUACUCUUGAAAUUUUCGAUGGAUCUGAUCCCACUGGAGAUCCUCCUUCAAUUAUCAUCUGCGUAGGGUUAAUUCCAAUCUGAAUGUCUGUAAAUACAGCGUACUUUUUAGUAAUUGCAAAAUCGUGCAGGAACGACGGUCGAUUCAUCGAAAGUAUCGGCACAUCUGAAUGUUUGGCUCCGUUUUUGUCGAAUCGGAAGUAAGUUAAAAACGGAGGCAAAGGACCGUAUCGGAACGCAAAUGCCUCACCGGUAUCGGAAUCGACUUUCGGAUGAGCAGUCAUACUAAGAGUGAGUUUUCCGUCGAAGUCAUGACGGGCGAGAGUUUCAAUAUCACCGUUUGGAGUUAAUCGAAUCGGAUACGGUAAAUCAGACUCACCUAGGGCGUAAAGUCGGUCACCGAAGAAAGCCAGACUAGUGUUUGCAAGACCAAUGCCGUUUGCAGGAUUAUACUGCCCGGUUAAUAUCCGGCCAACGGCGACGGCGCCUCGUGCGGCAGAGGCAGUGAGGCCAUUAAAGCCGGAAAAUACGUUGGGGAAAACAGGAUGGCCAGCGUCACGCUCCAAAGUAUAUUUGUAAGUCUUGACAUAACGACUACACAGAACGGCACGGCCAUCGGAGAUUCGAAGAGAGUGAAGCAUUCCGUCGCCGUCGAACAAAUGGUAGGGACCACGAGGAAGGUACUGAGGAUUUGGUCCGUUACGAAUGUACGCACCGUUGAGAGAUGAAGGCAACGAGCCAUAGAUGACUUCACACUCCGUCGGUGGUAGCUCAUCCACCGGAGCGAAGUUGUCGGCGAGGAUGUAUCGUGGAUCCACUGAGGGACUAACCGGGGGGUUUAUGAAGUUAUUGAUUAAGUCAUCGAAGGCGUUGAAGAAUCUCGCCGGUAGAGACGGCUGAACUCGUCUGGUAGAAGAGACCCUGGGCAUUGGUGGGGAGGGAGGAGAUGGUCGGGGCAAGGGCGGGGAUGGAGAAUCGGCAUCUGGUGGAGGGGUAUUCUUUUUGACGUUUUGUUCGGUGAGAACAGAGUAGAUGGGGGUUGAAAUGGGUGGGAGGGAACUGGAAAUUGGGGGAGAGAGAAUGAGAUUUCUGCCGGAGAGGAAAGGGGAAGAAAUGGAAUCCAUUGAUGGAAGAAAAUGAUUGGGAAAGGAAGUGAAAUUUCAACUUCUUCAGAUAAGAAUUGAUGAUAGUUUGGUCCCUACUCCCUUCUACUUCUUUCAAAGAUGAUAGAAUUUAAAGGAUGGGAAGGCUAAAAUGGGAACUCUAAAAUAUGAUUCUUUUAUUUUAUGGUUUGUAUUUCUCUAUUUCCAUCUCAUACUUUUUUUUUACCUUUUAUGAGUUUGAAUAAAUAUUUUACACAUUUUAAAUGACAUAAAAUGUAUAUGGGCUCAUAAAAAAAAAUUAUAAAUUUUCUCACUAACUUUUUUAUUUUUUAUUCAUUGUCACCUUACAUCUUUAAAAUGUAUCACAUCUUCCUCUCUUUCUUCCUUCAAAAUUAUUCUAACUAUUUAAUUGAUUUCAAUAAAAAUUAACUUUUGGCAGACUAAAUUUAAGAUUUAUUAGAAGUACAAAAUCAACAAACUUAACAGAUACAUCCGUGAAACUUUAAUAUAGCUUGACUUGAUUUAUUUUAUGUUAAAGUUAACUUUAAUAUGUAUUUAUAUAUUAUAGAUAAGUUAGGAAUUAAUCUUCAAAACCGAAAAGCUAAUUGUGUAAUUAUUUUUCAUAAAAUAUAAAAUUGAACUUAUAGUUUAGGUAUAUAUGUAAACAAAUCUCCAAUCCGCACAUUUCUAUUUCUAUCUAAAACAAGAAUGAUAUACAGUUUUGUUAUGAUGUUGACAAAACUCAAGAUAAUUAUAGUCAUUGUGGUGUGAAAUUUUUUAUUCUCUUAUUGGACAUGUACCAAUAUUAGCCAUUUUUGAAAUUUCAAAAUAAGUAUUUUUUUUUCAAGAAUUAUAAUAGAAAAACUCAUUACUAUGAAAAAAGCCACUAAAGAACAAAAAAAAAAAAAUCAUUGCACUAAGAAGAUAUUUAUAAAAUCUGAAGAAUAAAAAAUGGGAUCUAUUCUAAUAAACUUGUUAACUAAAAAAAGAAUACACUCUUAAAUCUUAUGGACGAAAUGUAUAUUUUAGGACUAAAAAGUUAAUUUUCUCUUUUAUCUUUUUUAUUUUUAAUCGAGAGGUAGGAAGAAAAUAGUGUUUCUCCAAAUAAAUAACAUUAGAUAUUUUUUAUAAGUUUAGAAGCUUUUAUUAGACACCUUUAAAUUUUGAAUAUCAAAUUAAUACAAAUAAUUUUAACGAUUAAACUCGUAAUAAAAUAUGAUAUUAAAAUAAUUUGUUUUGUAGUUUUUCUACGUUGGUUUUUGUAGGUUUCAAGAUUCCGUUGGUGUGAUUUCGACUAUCUAUAUGAAAAUUCCUACUUUAUAUGGUAUGAGUUAUUAUAAUAUAUGUUUGAAGUCUAGAGUAUUAUAAUCUAAAUUAUAAUAGCAUGUAGAAUAAAUAUUGGUUAUCUUAGAUAUUGUUUUUUUUAUACUAUUAUUUUUUGUCAUACAUUUAUUUAGGUACAUAAAAUACUAUUUUUGAAAAAGUAAUAUGGCACCAAAAAAACAUAUGAUAAAAACUUCUUAAUAUUAAAUUAACAUAAAGGUGUUUUAAAACUUUUUUUAAAAGUAUUUGUAUAUAUAAAUUUCUUUUCUUUGUUAUAUAUACUAAAAAUGUUUUUAUUAAAAAAUUUUAAGGUUGAUUGAUAGUGAUCGUAGAUUGGUUUAUUAUGGUCGUCAGAGUUGGUUAUCAAAAGUUCGUCGGUGAAGUUGUCAGAGGUGGUGAUCGAAGAGUGGUCCACGAUGAUUACCAAAAGCAGUGUUCAUAAGUUGGUAAACAAAUUUCUCAAUCACUGAAACUAGGAGUGAACAUAUGGUAGGCCGAAAAACUAAAACGAUAAACCAAAACCGACCAAACUGAAAUCAAUCUGUUGGUCGGGUGAAGGGAUAGUGUUGAUCGGUUUCAAUUUUGUUGUAAAAAAACCGACUUAUGGUUGGUCAGUUUGGGUCGGAAGGGUGAGACUCUACUAACCCAACCAAAAAACCCACUUUUAUAUAUAUAGUUGAGGUGCCUUUGCAAUUAAUUUAAUUUAAUUUUUUUUAUUCACUUUCUGAACAUUUUAAAUUUAUUAGUCUUGUUACAUUUAAUAUGUUUAAAAACUCUUCCACGUACCAAAAUUUAAUAGAAAUGGUUUUGUUUUGAUAGUAUAUUUAUGGUUUAAUUUUUAUGUUUUUAUUAAUUAACUAGAAAAAAAAGUAAGAGAGAAAAGAAAGAGGGUAGAAAGUAAAAGAAAAAAGUAUAAAAGAAGAAAGAAAAACUAAGGGAUCAACCAACUCACUGAAAGUUGGUUUGAUUAGUUUUGUUGCUAAUAACUAUCAAACAUUAAGUCAACAAUUUUCAUACCAAACUUGUGAUUGGUUUGAUCGAAAAACUGACUCUCAUAGACCAUAUAUCACCCCUACUUAAAACAAAUACUCUAUAGUAAAAAAGAUGUGAAUAUUGAUAUGUAAUUUAAUAAUAAUUUAUGAAAGUCAUUUAAGUUUAACGAGUAUUUAUACUCAUAUUGUCCAGUAGCCAAUGAUAUUUGUAUAUUUUAUGGAUAUUAAUUAUAUUGAUUAUCAAAGACGGUCAAUUAAAAAUUGAUAUCAAAGUUAAACUCUUUUCAAUUUAUAGAUACAUAUAUCAACAAAUAUAGCUAACAUGUGUCAAUGAAUAUCUUUUAUACUUUAACCUUUCUUUCAUGUAUAGAAAUGCAUUAAAUAACAAAUACUCUAUCUAUAAUUUUGAAAUGGUGUAUAAAUGUGUAAUGUAAAAUUCCGAUACGAUUUUCAAAAAAUAACAACCAUAUAUAUUUAUAUUUAAGUCGUGCACGCAUCAUAAAUGCAUCAUUAAUUAAUCCAUAAAUUAAAAUUUAAUUAUUCACUACCAACUUUUUACGUAUUUAAUAUGUUUAAAUGUUUAAUUGAUAAUUAACACACUUUUUACCUAUUUAAUUUGUUUUCUUUACCUUAAAAUCCUUCUUUAAAUAAAUUAGAAUAAUUUAAAGAUAAUAAUUGAGUUGGAUUCGAAUAUUAUAAACUCAACUCAUUUGGGUUCGAUUUAUAAAUAUUAUUUCAAUUCUAAUAAUUAUUUAGUAAAAUGAUAAAUUCAACCCAAGUCUAUUACUAAAAUAGGUAAAAAAUAUAAAUAUGGAAAUAGUUAAAAUAUAAAAUAUAAAAAAUAUAUUUUUUUAAAAGAAGAAAAUAUAUGAAUGAAAAAAAGUCAAAAUAUUAAUUAUAUGGAUGUAUAUGUGUGUGGUCUUGUUUAAUUAUUCCCAACAGAUGAUUGUAAGUUGAAAAAUUUUAUGUGCCCAUUUUUGGAAUCUUGCUUAACUUUUGUCUAUACCCAUUUUAUGCAAAUUAAUAAUUAUGAGAGUUAUAGGUUAUAUUAGAAAUAUAUAAUAUAUAUUAUAUGGGGUGGAGAUUAAUUCAAAUAUAUAUUAAUGAGUGGAUGCAUGAGGUUAUUAAUAGCUAAACUAAUUAAAUGAGUUAAUUUAGGGUUAUAGUUUUUAUUUUUCAAGGAGAAACCAAUUGUCUAAUUAUUUGAAGAGAAAAUUAAUUUUGGGUGUACCUAGUAGUAGUAGAGAGUAUUGGUAUAUUCACAUGUUAAUUUCUAAAACAUAUAUAUCUAAUAAUGAUUUAUUUUCAAAUAUAAAAUUAGGGUUAGAAAUUGAGUAUUCCCACUCUCAAUUUGCACCCACACGAAACGCAUGCCAUACACACCAUACAAGUAUGAAUUCAAUUGAUUGGGAUUUUCAUGUCAUUAGGUGUUUUGAAUUUUGUGGGUACUCCAUUACUAUAUUUUUAAAUUAAACUUACAUUUUACGAAAAUAAAAAAAUUAUUUUUCAAAUAUCAAAAGAUGAACUAAAAUAUUUAUAAAAUAUCAUCCUCUAUCAUCUAUGAUGGAGUGUGAUAGAUUACGAUUUUAUGUGUAUCUCUUAUCUGUGUCUAGUUUAUCUUAGUCUCUUCCCGUUGUUGAAUAGGAAAUUUUGAAAUUAUUGAUGAAAAAUACAAAUAAUUAAAUUUAGGAUUAAUUGAGAAAAAAAAUUGAAAAUAUAAAUUGGUUAUUUCUAACGAUGUAACAUGUUUUUAUUAUGAUCGUUGGAUCAAGUUAAUUAUUUUGGUUCAAUCCUCAUUUGUAAAAGGAGAAUUUUUUUUUGUCUAGAAGGUCUAUGGAGAAUUCUCCAAGAGCUACAAGACUCUUUAACUCCUGAAGUCGACCGUCCUUGAAGAUUGAAGAUUGAAGCUUCUUUGAAAAUAUAAGUUUUUUUAUUCUAAAACUCUAUUUUAAAAAACAUCAUGUGUUCUGCAUCCUCAAAUCAAGCGUAGAUGUUCAAUCGAGAGAUAAUCAAAUGAUUAAAUUCUAGAAGUUGAAGCUAACUCCACAAAUCAAAUUUUUCUGAAAAUCUCGUACAAGGAGUGGUCUAUUACAAAUAAAUUAUAACAUUUUGAUAUAUUUUUAAAAAAUUCAAUUUUUUUUAUCAUUUAAGAUAAUUUUCCAUAAAAACAUGACGUAUUUUAAGGUGUGACUCAUCAAACAUGGCAAAUACAAAAUAGGUAUGAAGAAAUAUACUCUUUGAAUUUUAUUUUAUGUAAAAAGAGAAAAAACAAAACAACAAUUCCCAAAUUAAACAAUUUUAAUUUAGUAUCUCAAUUUCACAUUGGUGAAAGUUGCAAAGUCCUUUUCUUGUGGCUAUAAAAAUAUAAUUAUAACAAUUAAUAUAAAUUAAACGAGCAAUAUUUUUGUAAAAUAAAUAAAUAAUUAUAACAACAACAACAAUAAUUUUAUAAUAAUACACUAUUUUUAAGUCCGUACCCUCUAAUUCCCUCCCCUUGCUAUAUAUAUAUACACACACACAACACAAUCUCACAUUUAAUAAUGAUUUUGUUUGAAAUUUAUAAUUUUCUCUCCCUCAAUUUUUACAUUUGUAGAGCAAUUCAAGUAAAAAAAUUUAUACUUCCAACUUAUUAGUAUACUAACGUAUAUGUCAAUUGAAUUAGUCUUUUCUUGACUUUUUAUUUAUGUAUGGUGAUUCUUAUUUUUCUUCUCAUUUUUCUCGAAAAAACAAGUUUAUGGAAAGAAUUUUUCAAAAUAAAUAUUCAAGAUCUAUUCAUUUUAUAUAAAAAAAUUGAGAGUACUUUUUGUUAUAUAGUUGUUAAACUAUGAUUAGAUUUUUAAUAAAGUGAAUAACAAUACAAUAGAAUUAAAAUAGUAUUAAUAAACUUUAAUUUUAAUUUUAAAAAAUUAAGAAAAAUUAAUUUAAAUGACUAUAUUUAAAUACUUUAGAAUUUUAAAAUAUUUUGUCACCUAAGACGGUGAAUUAAUCUUACCCUCCUUAAUUUUCAAGAUCAAUAGAGAAAAUUAUUAUUUUUUAUUUUGAAUUGAAAGUAAUAUCUAAUUUCAUUUCUAUCUUGAUUAUUAUUAUCUUCUUUCAAAUUGUCCAAGCUUACGAUCAAAUCUAAGUCUAUAAGGUGUUGAAAAAAGGAAAAUUGCAAUGGGUAACCAUUUCAACAAUAAUAAUUAAAGAUAUAGCAAAAUUUUAAAAAAAUUGCAAAUAUAGCAAACUAUCACUGAUAGACUUGUAUCGCUGAUAGAUUUCGCAUGAUCUAUCAGUGAUAGACCAAUAUUUGCAACAUAGUCUAUCGGUGAUAGACUUAUAUCAUUGAUAGAAUUUGACAAAUUUUGUUAUAUUUGCAAAUUUUUUAAAAUGUUGCUAUAUACUUAAUUAGUUUGAAUCUAAUUGCUAAAAUUUGUAACUAUUUCUUGAAAAAAAAGUGUGGGAGAAUGUGUGUUUCAAAAUGAGAAUGUUACUGUCUUAGAGUUUGGACUAACCAGAUGAGUUGAUAAAUAUAUAUCAAUUAAAAAAUAAUUGAACUACACUUGGUUUGGCACUUUGAAAUCUCAAAUGCUAAGAACAAUAUUACGUUGUCAAGAUUAUAUGCAAACAGAGACGCGUGCCAAAGAAAAGGUUGAUAAAUAGACUCAUUCGUCAACAAAAAAUAGUAAUUAAUCUUUCAAGGAGAGUCUUGAUCUUACUUCUUAUGCGGUUUGCUAAAUUAUACACUUACUUGGGGUUGUCAUCGUAUUGAUAUGAAGAUCACUAACUCAGAUUGGCUAGUAGAAGCGUGUCAAAUGAUCAAGUCCACGAUGAAUCCACGUAAAAUUGCAUGUAGAUGAGAUAUGAACUCUAACAAGGACCUCAGAAUUUCACUUCAUCAAAGAAUACUUGGCUGGAGGAGUGGAAGUUAGUAAAGUGAAAAAUUGUCAUCUCUGAACCCACAAUGGACCCGUGACUAAAACCUCAAAUUCAAAUUCAUCAGUUAUUAACUUUUUAUACAAAGGAUCCAUUACUAACGAUUCUUCAAAUCUAAGAAUUGUCUUGCAAUCAACCUUAUUAUAGCCUACGGAAAAUUGAAUUUGAUAACAAGAUUCCUUUAAUAUUUAUAAUACACUUUUUUCACAAUUUCAUUUGAUGACAGUAAUGAGUUCUUUAUCCAAAAUUAAAAAUGUUAUAAUCAAGUUUAUUUGAUUGAUUAUUGAUUAAUUACAAGAAAAUAACAUAGUUUAAUUGCUAUUGUAUACGUUAGCGACUAAGAUAGUGGUCGAAUCUCUCACUCCUACAUGCUCAAAGUGUAAAAAAAAAUGUAAUUAUUACUUGGAUAUUAUGAUAUACUCAACUUUAACCACAUAUAUUUCAGUUUUUUUAAAAAAGAAAUCACUUAUAUUUGGAUAUUAAGAUAUUAAUUAAUAAUUACUACUUAAGAUUUUUAUUUAAUUUUGUUUUCUUUUGAAAGAUAGUAUUUGGAAGAAGUUGAUGGUUAGGUCCUUUGACAUUAUUUUCUGAAAACGGAAAUAGAAAGAAUAUGAUAAUAUGAAAAAUAGUUUGUUAAAAGAAAGUAAAAGACAGAGACCAUAAAAAUAAGAGGUGGAGCCAAGUGAGAAAGAGAGAGAUAAUUUGAUUGGACCAUUAAAAUUGAAAUUGACCAAAAUGCAAAAUAUCUCAACUUCAAAAAUGUUGGAGCCAUACAAAAUGAUAAUUGUAAUAAGAUAUGAUAUCAACAUCAUUCUUAUGGACCACACAUAACAAAAUAUAAACCAUAUACACAUACAUAUAUCUACGAUUUGAAAGAUAGACUUAAACAGAAAUUACUAACCAUCGAAAAUAUUUUACAAAAUAUAAUAAAAUUUUAGAUUCUAUCGAUAAAAUUUGACAAAGUUCAGAUCGGUUGAUGUGGUGGCAUGUCGUUCAACAAUGCGUGGGCAACAAAUUGUUGCAUCGACACAUGGAUAGCCUCAUUUUGCAGAUUUGGCAAUGCAUGGACUUCAAAUGGGGCAAAUGACUGCAACUAGAGGAGGGUUUCGUGCAGUGCCCAUGCGACUGAAGGGGGAUAAUCGCCAGAGUGGUAUGAAGGGGGUGGAAUUGAUCCUUCUUGGCGACUGCAACCCUUGCAUCCACGUCGCCGCCGACAGUGGUUGACAUUAAAUACAUUGAUGACUCUUUCCAAAAGAUACUUGAAAAGUGAUAACAUGAGCAUACAAAAAUGCUAUUCAAUUGAAAAAUGCACCCUCAUAUAACUGGUUUAAUAUGACUUAAAAGAAAAAGUUGGAUUCAACCUGUAAUAUAGUCACCUGUCUAAUAUUUAAUAUCCUGCAAUUCUUUUCUUGCCUUGUGAGACUAACAAAUGUGUGUGCAAAUUGAUUUCAACACCCGUGGAUAUAACAUAAAUAAAUAAUAAAUACACUCAGAAGUCCAAACCAUCCAAGGAUUGAAGUGAAAUUACAUUCAAUAUAUCAAACACUGUAUAUCUUUCUUUCCCAAGCAGUUGAAAUCCAUUCUUACAACACUGAAAACAGCAAUCCAUUUCCAACAAUUUCAUAUGUAUCGCUGUUUCAUUUGAGAUUCUAACAUAUGAAUAUGGACUAGAAAGAAUCUUGAUUUGAAGAAGAUGUUAUAUCGUGCAAACUGGAAUAGAUGCAAAGAUCUUAUUCUUCUCUUCAAAUUCAAACUGACCUUGAAACCUUGAGUAUGAGAACUUGAAGAAGCUGCAAGAGAGAGAGAGAGAGAGAGCUUUCCUUUUCAAUGAGAGAUGAUAAUCUUGAAGUUCUACAAGGCAUGGAUUCCUUGCUUAUAUUUUAUUGUUUGGAAUUAUAAACUCACGUCUACAUUUGCUAUGUGAAAUUUGUUGUCACAAAAAAGUUUUUGCCAACUCCAUGUGUUAACAUAAAAAAAAAAAUUAGUUUAGUUAUAGGAUACACAAUUACUUCUAUAAAUCACAAACCCACGUGUAUAUAAAUCAGUUUAUAUAACUCAUUCCACUAAAUGAUCCAAAACAUAAGCUACACAAAAGCAAGCUACAUGCACCCAGAAAUAAUUUUAAAACUUCGGAAUAUAACUUCUCAACUACUUAAUAACACUUUUAUUUAAGAACUUAUUGAGUCAUUUUUCCAUACAGGCCUAGUAGAGUCGUUACAGUUUUGUUCCCCACUCUCCCUUGAAUUUAGACAGAUUGUUGAGGUUUAUAAGAUACUGAAUUUGUUUCAUGCAUACUAAGAAAAGUUUGAUCCAGCGAUCAUGAUCGUGCAAUGAAAAGAAAGGGAACAGAAAUUAAGCAGAAUAAAAAAGAAACCAUCAGGAAAGAUAACAACAAAAGAACAGAGAUUACAAGACCUAGUUGUGAAGCUUGACUGCAUCCAGAUUUCUUCUUCCUUCAGGGCCGUUCGAGUACCAUGAUGAUGUAUAAUCUCCAUAAAUAACUUCGCGAUAUCUAAGGGGGGAGGACUCACUAACAAGUUCUGCAGCAGGGGAUAUUUUUACUGUCUUCGGCGGAUCAUGAAAAGCAGAAAUCGAGAGUCUUGCCCUGCUAGAAUUUGUAAUCACCCUAUGUUCCGCACUCUUGCACUUCCCAUUAGUUAGAAUCUGCAUGCAAUAAUGUGCUAUUGAAGUCCCUAUUUGACUUGAUUAUACAAAAAAAAAUAAUAAGUUACAAGAGAAACGAAGCAGCUCCUCACACAUGAAACAAGAUAGCCAAAAAAAAUUUAUCACUGAAGCAAAAAGGUCACACAUUAGUUAUACAAAUCAAAAUGCUGGUGUUGAUCAAUAGAAGUUAUAGACACGCGUGAAUGAUUAAGCCAUACAAAUGUUUACAAGCAAAGUCUCUCUUAAAUGGUUUAACAGGUAACUUUCUCUCUCACUUCAGGUCUUUAUUUUGUAAUGAACUAAAAAUUGUGAGUUACCAUUCCAUAAAUGUCAAAUUUUGAGAUUCCUACUGCUACUUGAAAUAUUUUCCUCAUCUAAUUGGGACUGUAAAUCAAGUUUUUAGCUUUCAUAUAUUUUCUUGUUUGCCAUAGGUCCAAUGUCCAUAGCCCUUUUACAGCAUAUCCUUAGCAUGUGUGACAGCAUUUCAAACACUUCUAUGGUAUGGGAACCUAAGAGGCACAUUUAAACUAAUGCAUUCAUUGUCCUAAAAAUAAUAAUAAAUAACCUAGCUUCUGCCUUUGAAACAGCCUGUCAACCACCUGCUUUCUCCAUCUAGGGUCCUUUACAGAGAUCCCAAACGUCAGAUAUGAUUGAAAGUUCUAAGUUCUAAUUCAACUUAAAUUAAUGCAGAAUAGACUCCCUGCAGACUGUUUGUCAAUGAAAAAUAAAAUUGAUCAUUAAGCCCAGCAACUUGAUUAUCUUGCUCCAUCGUGAGAUAUGCAAUAGUCAUGCUACACAUCAACAUCAUUGUUUUACAUGAAGUUAAAUGUUUAGCUACUAUUGGAACAGGAUGUUCCCCAUUAGCCUAUUUCUAAGCAAACGAUGCUCAAGCCAUUAGACCAAACAAGUGGUACAAGCCAGAUCCUUAACUAAGUGGAGGAGUGCAACCCCUGUACCACAAUACAUGACGAGAAUACUAAUCACUAGAGGUAUAAUUUAAGGACUUGAUCUGUGACAAGUACUUUCCUGAAACUACAAGAGAUGAGGAGAUAACUAAGACUGAGUCGUAAAAGCACGACAGACCUCUAGUAGGACAAACAUUUUGCCAGAAAUAGUUAAGAAAAUAUUUUAGAAGUAGUCCACAGAAAAUAAGAAGUACAAAAGAACUCCGAUAAGAUUAAAGGGCCACUGACCAAUCAGUGCCAAAUACAUUAUACAGCCUCUCUCCAAUCUACUCUACUCAGGAGAAUAAGUACUCUGGUCAAGAAUCGAUCUUGCAAGGAGCAGGGAUCUUCUUGUCAAAAGAGAGUUCCAACCAACCUUUUGCUCCAGUCAAUGGCAACAUCAAGCCAAAAGGCUCCAAACCCAGGAACCGCAGCAGCGGAAAACAACCCUAGCAUCCUACUUGUGGCCGACAAGGUUUAUUCAAGAUAUGGUAAGCAAGGGAACUGCCAAGGUCUGUACGGCUUUUCAUCCAUAGAACCAAGCAUGUCCUCCUAAACAAUCAGCGUCAAUUUGACGGCUGUCUAAUGGCUUUUCGAAUACAGGAAGAUUGUAUCAGAAAAGAGAAUUAGUACCCAAGGACUUUUGGCAUGCAAGGAUCAGAUUUUCCUUAAAACUCAAGAACACAGUUGUACACCCUAUAGAAUAGAUCCUGUUCAAGUAAGGUUGAUCAAAUUACGUCUAAGAAAUUAACUCCUCAAAGAGCUUGUGAUAUUCAAAAUUUUCCUAGCAGAACAUUCCGAAAUAUCGUUAAACUGCCCCAUCUCCUUCUCUUUACUUAAUCUAAUUACAGUGUUUCGACGUGAAGAGAAAAUCAAGUUUAAAGAGAUAAAGACACUCCUAUACCUAAUAACUGAACUGACCUCCACCAUAGACACAAGUGCAGAGAAUUUAGACGAUUACCUCACCAUCAUCUUAUGUUGAGCUAUAAGUUAUUUUUCUUCCUUAUGAAUGGUCUAUUAUUGCCCCCACAAACAUUGAUCUUGUUCCAGAGGUAGAAGCUUGAAAUUGAUGGCGUUAUGGUGUAGGAACCCAAUUGAUCAAACAUAAAAUUAGAAGCAGAUUUAGUAAAGAAAAUGAUAAUUUUUCCAUUGUUAAGAAUCCACGUUGGAAAAUCAAGUGACUUCACAAUGUUUAUAAUAUACAUGGUUAUUCCUCUCCUAAGCAAUUGGUUUGAGAUAAACCCAUGUCACCUAAUAUCAACCAAGCCUUUUCUAUCAAAUAUUUAGUCCAAAUAUUAGCCUCCCCAUAUCUCCAAGUUCUCUCAAAUUGUAACUGUAUAAUCUGACAAACUAUCUAAAUAACGAAAACUAAAAGUAUCGGUCCCAGCCUCUAAGAGUCCUAGCGGUUUCUUAGAUCCUUACUCUCUGUAUAAAGUAGUGCGAAUCGUGUAGUUUUGUCAAAGAGAGGAGGGGGAAAAAAUAGGUAUGAGCACUGCAUAAUCUAACCUCAGUUUGGUCAGCUAAAAUGACGACAAUGGCAUCAGGAGACAGAGGAUGAGCAGUAACCCAAUCACCUUGCCCACUGAGAACCUGAAGGCCGCUAACAUCAUCUUGUAUGAGCAAAGUGAUGGCACCAAUGUCGGAGUGAGAUUGCAGACCAAGCGUCAAGUCAGGCUGAGGACAUGGAGGGUAAUAACUAACAGUAAUAUUCUGAUAAAAACCUUCUUCCGCACCCAUACCAGUAAUGGCAUCCUCCAUCCACGACGAAGGCAGGCCAAUAGUUUCAGAGAUAAGGGCUAAGAGACGCUGAGAAAGCAAUUUCAUACAAUCGCUGUACUGUGCCAUAAGCUCCCUGUAAUGGGAAGGAAAAUGAGGCCAAUUAGAAGGAUUACGGCGUGAAAGCGGAAGCGUAUGGUGAUCGAAGUAAUCUCUCCAAUCAAGCACUGAAGAUUGUGAGCGGACAUGUUGAUCGAGGAGCAUUUGUGUGCCAUAACCCUCGGAAGCGAAGGAAUUAGGAUCGCAAGCGUAAGCGAGCUUAUCGGAGACGGGGUAAUCUCUGAAAAAAGACAGAGCCGCAGCUCUCAUCUGGUUCAGCAAUGAUACGGGAAUUCCAUGGUUGAUGACUUGAAAAGCCCCCCAUUCGGUGGAUUCUCGACCAAUGGCGGCUAGAACAGCUGGUCUGUGGGACGGAUCGAAUCCGAAAAGGUCGAUCACUGGAAUUGAAAGGUGGGUGGAGUUGUUAGGGUGGGAGGGACGGUGGUGCGGGGGCUGGAUGUAUUGGGGCGGAACCUGAGAGGGAUGUGUUUCGGCUAACUUUUGGACUCUGGUUAGUGGUUGGGAUGAUUGUAAGGCCAUGGCGGAUGAAGUUCACAUCUCAGAAAUGGAGUU